Molecule: ribosomal RNA, 404 nt
Filed under: uncultured bacterium
Lineage: Bacteria
Description: partial 16S ribosomal RNA
Rfam family: Bacterial small subunit ribosomal RNA
Source: RNAcentral
AUUGAACGCUGGCGGCAGGCCUAACACAUGCAAGUCGAGCGAGCGGCGGACGGGUGAGUAAUGCCUGGGAAUUGCCCAGUCGAGGGGGAUAACAGUUGGAAACGACUGCUAAUACCGCAUACGUUUGGUUUGCCCAGGUGGUAUUAGCUCGUUUGGUAGGUAAUGGCUCACCAAGGCAAAGAUCCCUAGCUGGUCUGAGAGGAUGAUCGGCCACACUGGAACUGAGAAACGGUCCAGAAUCCUACGGGAGGCAGCAGUGGGGAAUAUUGCACAAUGGGGGAAACCCUGAUGCAGCAAUGCCGCGUGUGUGAAGAAGGCCUUCGGGUGGUAAAGCACUUUCAGCGAGGAGGCGUUACUCGCAGAAGAAGCAACGGCUAACUCCGUGCCAGCAGCCGCGGUAAUAC